RNAcentral lists this long non-coding RNA (26231 nucleotides) under Vitis vinifera (wine grape). RNAcentral describes it as "long non-coding RNA (VVIN_LNC003721)". Lineage: Eukaryota; Viridiplantae; Streptophyta; Magnoliopsida; Vitales; Vitaceae. The record is from RNAcentral.
UUGAGGCGGAGAGUUUCGUACACGACGGAGUGGACUAGUUCCAAGUCUUUAACCGAUUCAAAGGUUAGAUUUGUUCCCGGCUUGAUCUUUGAUCUGACCUCUUCUCUCAGUUUGGCCUGUAACUCCGGUUUGCCGCUAAGAGCGCUGAGGAGAGAUGGGAAGAAGAUGGUGAAGCCACCGAAGGCGUUGAAGCCGAGGACGAAGAGGAGGUUGUGGAUGGUUUCUUCUUUGGAGAGGUUGAACUCGGUUUCGCCUCUUUGAAGCACGGCUUGGCCGUGUUGUUCGACGAAGUCGUAGAGUUUUCUGUAGUCUCCUUUGACGAGGAAGAAUGGGUAAGCGAAAGAGUGGAGGAAGAUCUCUUCGAGUGGUUGCAGGAAGUUGACGCUGAUGGUGGGGAGGAGCUGGAGGAAAACCCAUUUGUCGAGCAUGACGUAGCCAGACUCCGCAAUUUCCGGCGACACAGCGGGAUCCGCGCCAACAAGGCAUUUAGUUAGGAAAUGGAAGAUGAAGCGCUGGAGAGGCUUGAUGUAACUGGCGCUGUUGCUCUUGGCGACGCCGGCGUCGAUGGUGUCCCACAUGGUGUCCAGGCUGGCCACGACCUCGCUUGCCCAGAUGCUGGAACUCCGUUUCAGAAUGUCCAUGGCAAAGCUCUUUACCUGCCGGAGAUUCCAUAAUUGUUGAUGUGAUUUUUCUACAAUUUUUAUUGAUUUAUUUUAAAGGGUAAUUCAUGAAAUUUAAUCUAUGAAUGCAAGACAUAGAAUAAGAUAAAAUUUGUUGCCCCUAUCCCAUGGUCAUGGUGAUGAGUUGCGAGAUAUUUUUGACUUCGAGAUUGUGGGGAACGCAACGUUCUAUUUACAGAGUGUCCUCUAGACCACUCUUGGGCCUAUAUUCGACCUAUAUUCGAAAACGUUAAAUGAAAAUUAUUAUAUUUUUAUUAAGAAAUAAAACAAAAAAAUCCACUUGUGAUUUGUUUUUAAUAUUUAAAAAAUAUUAAAUAUUUAUAAUCAAGAAAAAUAAAAAUAAAAAAUUAGAAAAGCACAUCCUAGUCCCUUAAUAAUUUAAUAUAUAUAUUAAAAAAUUAUUUAAAAUCAAUUCAUUAUUUUAUAUACUACUCCGUUUCAUUGAUUUUAUGUUUUCUGUAAAAAUAAAAUGAUUUGAAAAUUUGUAAGUUAUAGAAAGACAAUAAAAUAAUUUUUUUUAGUAUUUUUUUUAUUAUGUUUAGUUUUUAAAAAAUUUGAAAGAAAAUACGAAAUAAAGAAAUUAAAGAAAAAAAUUAAAAAAAUAUGAAAUAAAUUUAAAUUUAAUAAAUUAUUUUAUUCUAUUUAUUUUUUUUAUAUUAUAACAAGAUUAAAUAAUCUUAAAAUAAAAAAAAAUUAAAUUUAUUUUAUUUUAUAUUUUUUUAAAUAAAACCAAAUCUGACCAACCAUCCAAACAUAUUUAAUAUUUUUUGAAAUCAAAUAUAAGAUAAAAAUAAAAAAAUAAAAAAAUAAAAUAUAUUUAAAAUUAAUCAAUUAUUUUUAUAUAUUAUAUGAAAAAAAAUUCCCACAAAAACCUUAUAAAUGUUCGUUUUCCAUCGCAACUACUGUUUCAACAUUAGUGGUUUAGAUUUUUCAACACACAAAUUUAUAAAUAUUUCUUCCUCCAUAAAUGAAGGUACGACUAUCAGAUCUAAAGCAGUGUCACUCGACAUAGAUAUGCUGACUCACUGAGUCGAUGACUGAACUGGACUCAGUGAGUUUGGAAGAUCAGAACGAGGCAACGGAAUCUUACCCUGGCGUGUUGGGUCUCGGCGGUGUCGAGAUAGGCACAGACUCGAAUGUCGCCGGUGUACUUGACGCUGGGCAUGAAGUCGCCGACGAGGACAUUCUUCUUCUCGACAACAUCCAUAUCAAAGAGAAAGGAGAAGGAUUUGCAAUCGAGGACGGCGAUUACGUUAGGAUUGACACCGACGAAGAAGGGGAACGACGGAGGGACGUUGGUACGGAACACGGUGCUCUUGUACUUGUCGAUCCUCUUCCGGAAGAACGUCUCCGGGCCCUGGAACCAGAAGUAGUCGAGGCGGUCGGCGAUCGGGCCGAGCACAGGCCAGCCGUAGCUGCCAGGAAUCGCGCGAACGGGGGAGGACGAGGGAGGAGACGGUGGAGUUAGAGACGAGGGCGUCGGGACUCCCGGCGAGACGCUCAUGACCGUGGAAGACAACAUGAUUCUACAGGAGAAGAAACGGUGUGUGGUAGGCAGUUUGGGAUCCAAGAGGGGAAAGGUUAAAUAAAUAUCUGUCGAAUCUUGGUGAUGAUAUGUGGAGGCAGUGAAUGUGACAGCGAUGUGGGACUGUGAAAUGGAAAGCUGGUCCACACAAGUUAAAGGUUUCUUCUCUUCAAAAAAUUAUCAACAAUUUCAAGUGUUCACAUUUUGAUGAUUUUACUUUUAUUAGAAAACGUGCCAAUUAGGUUUUAGAAGGACAAAACGUUAUCCUUUUUAAGUUAGAAAUUUGAAGAUUUUUCCAAGAUGAAUGAUACUUCGACCCAACAGUAGUUAUCGAAUUAGUACACGUGGCACCAUCUAACUCCUAACUAGUGACGUAUUUUUGCACCAAUUAAAAAUAAGAGGUUCACUCAAAAAUAAUAAUAAUCUUUUUAUGUUUAAUUUUAUUUUACAACACGUUAUCAAUAUGAUUUACAACCGAAUCAAUAUAAUUUUACUUUUUAUGUAAUUGUUAUAAUUGACCAAUCAUUUAUAUUUUUACAACAUUGUCUAACUCUAAUUAUUCAUGUCUGAAACUAUGGAAAAAAUGCUAGUAAAUUAAUAAAUAUCAAAAUUCAUAUAAUCAAAAGUUAUAUGAGUAAAGUUUUACUAUAUAUAUAUAUAACAAAAUUAUUCUUUUAUUUUUAUUAUUAGAUAUUAUGGAAUUUUAAUGUGAUUUUUAUCAUUAGAUUGGUUUUUAUUUUUAUACGAUUUUGAUUAAAUUGUAUAUGUAGAAUCAUGUAAAAAUAGAAAUUCUCUUAACCCGAAGGUACAAAGAACUAUAGAAAUAAUGUUUUUAAUACCAUUUAAUAUUUAAUAUAUUAAAAAUAAGAGGUUCACACAAUAAUAAUAAUAAUAAUAAUCUUUUUAUAUUUAAUUUUAUUUUACAACACAUUAUCAAGAUCUACAACAUAAUCAAUAUAAUUUUACUUUUUAUGUAAUUGUUAUAAUUGACCAAUCAUUUAUAUUUUUACAACAUUGCUCAACUCUAAUUAUUCAUACCCUAAAACCAUGGGGAAAAUGUUAGUAAAUUAAUAAAUAUCAAAAUUCAUAUAAUCAAAAGCUAUAUGAAUAAGGGUUUACUAUAUAUACAUAUAUAUAUAUAUAUAUAACAAAAUUAUUCUUUUAUUUUUAUUCUUAGAUAUUAUGGAAUUUUAAUGUGAUUUUUAUCACUAGAUUGGUUUUUAUUUUUAUACGAUUUUGAUUAAAUUGUAUAUGUGGAAUCAUAUAAAAAUAGAAAUUCUCUCAACCCGAAGGUAUGAAGAACUAUAGAAAUAUGAUAAUUUUUCAUAACUUGAAGCAACUAUCUUAUAUAUUCAUAUAAUAAAUUUUGUAUGACUCAUAUCAUGAAGUUAUAUCAAUUUUAUAUAUUUUCAUAAUCGAAGAUUAUGAAGGAACUAUGUGAAUUUUUAUUUUUAUCUUUGUUUUUUAAUUGAAUUAUUGAAAAUUUUAAUUUGUUAUCAUUCAGUUUUGAUUGAUUAUAUCAUCACUGUUAUCUUUAAGUUAUAAAGAUUGAAAUUUCUAAAGUUGUACAUUUCAUAUCAUAGAAAAAAAUUAUCUUUUUAAUACAUGCACUUGUCAUAUUUAUUCGUUGUAUGCAAUGAUUAAAAUAUCGCGAUAUGUUGGCGAUAUAUCGAGUAUCGGUGAACUAGACAAUUUAUCGUGAAUUGCGUCAAUUUUUCACCCAUCUCUCAUGAUAUGUUGAGCAAUCAACGCGGGUCAAUCAAACUUUAAAAAUUACUCCAAUUUUCCUUCACAAGUUUGCCCCUUGUCAUAUAAAUUGUACCAAAUAUAUAUAAACUCAAAUUCAUCAUAUAAACAUAAUUUUUUAAAAAUGUUUUAAAGAACAAAUUAAGUAUAAUUAUUUUAUAAUUAAAUGAAAAUUUUUCAUCUAUUUAAAUACCAAAAAUAUAAAAAUUAGGGUAAUAAUUUUUUUUUCAUAAUGUUUUUAAUACCAUUAAUAUAUUAAUUAAGUGUUAAAAAUUAUACAUAAUUAUCAUUUAUUUUAUAUUAUUUAAUAUAAUUGAAUCAAAUGAAUUAUAAUAGUAAUAUUAAAUAUAUUUUUAAAUUAAACAUAUUUUAAUCAAAUAUCACAAUAUUAUUAUCGAAUAAUAUUUGAUAUAAUUUAAUAAUAAAUGUAUAUUUAUGAAAUUUAUAUUUUUUUAUUAGCACAUACAAUAUUAUUAUCAAAUAUGAUAAAUUAUACUACACAUAUAUCAAUUUCUUGAACAAAACAACUUUAAAAUAUCUAUUAUAUUUCUAAUUUUAUUUUAAGAGUUUUUUCUUACAUUUUUAUAAUUUCUGAUCAAUUUUAGGUUCACCAACAUUUUGUGUCAAAAUAUCCAUCGAUAUAUUUUCGAUAUAUCCGUAAAAUGGAAGUAUUGAUAUAUCUGUAAUUACAAAUAUUUUCAUCCUUAGUUGUAUGCAUACAAUAUCAAGUGUUUGAUAGAUUUAUUUCAAGAUAUUUGUCUCAUAUAUUGAAUAACAUAUGUAACAACUGAUGUUAAUCGACAUCAAGCAAACUUGAUUACAGACUUUAGAAGGGAUAAAAUUAUAUCACAAAUAAUAUAUAAUUCUAUUUGAAUGACAUUUUACAUUAUAUUCAAUCCAAAAGAAUAUAAUAUAAUUAAUAUGGUCCUCAUGUCAAUAAUAAUGCAUUAAUUUAUUACAAGUCCUGUAGACAUAUAUCAUAAAGUUAACAGUUUUUUGUCUAACGACAAGUUUAUCUAUACUUUUGAAAUGUAAAAUGAUAUGUUGUGUAAAUUAUUAUUUUUAAUGAGAUAAAUUUUCUUGUCAUUGAGGAGAAGAAGUUGAUUCCAAAAGAACAACAUGAAAUUUCUUAGAAAUUUUUUUUAUAAAAUAUGAUACAUUAAUGUCUAUGAAGAAAUAUUAAUUGACAUAGUAGAUACUCGCUCGAAACAUGGUAGAAUAAAAAAAGCAAAAAAUACCAUCCUAAUGGGACAAGUGGCUAUUAUAAUGAAAAAUGAAUUUAAAUUAUGCCCGAAGUGUAAUAGAUUUGUCAAUUCAAAUGAUGUAGUUCCUCAAAAAGGGAAAACAAAAAGAAAAAAACAUAUGAAAAAAUUGACACUCUCCAAAAGGUAAAAAAAAUAACUUAUCAGUUUAAAAGUGAUGAAAAAUUACAUUUGAAGAGACAAUAACGAAUGAUCUUUAAAAAGACGCAUAUUGAAUAAAUAACUCCUAAACAAGUACAAAUUGGAGGAAUAAAGAGACACAAAUUGAAUAAAUCACCCCUAAAAGGGCAUGGAUGUCUUCAUACUUAAAAGUAAAAGAGAUCUCUAUUAGUUAUGGAUAUGAUAGAAAGAAAUGAUAUCAAAACUAUAUUGUCAUUGACAAAUCAUCUUCUUUUUAGAUGACCUUUUACAUAAUAUGGAAUGAAGAAAAUUCCAAACUUAUGAAUUAUGUAACAAUGUCCAAGUAGAAAACAAUUGUCCAAAAUGGAAUACAAAAUUAAACUAGUUGAUGAAAUGCCAAUGUCAAUGUCAAAAUAAUUUGAGGCUGUUGAAUAUAAAUGAAUCUGAAGUCCAAUGCCAAAAGACAUAAAAACCAUUGGAUAUCAAUGGGUUAUUAUGCUAUUAUAGUAUAAGGUUUUCUGCAAAACCCUAAUAUCAAUUUUCAUAAUUAUUUGGUUAUAUGAUUGACAGUUAAUGAAAGACUUGAUAUAUCCUUUAAAAUGUAUAUGGAUGCAUAAAUGUGUUAAAAUUCCUAAAGAAUUCAAAAUGUAUUAAGCAACCAAGUCCUUGAGGAAUUAUGUGCCUAAAGCAAAUAAUUCACUGAGCUAUUAAUAUUUAAAGUAAUAAUUGAAAAUUUCAUAUCAUAUUCUAAAUGAUGUCAUGUAAUAUACUCAACUAAAUUAUGUCCUUGUAUAGACUAAAAUAAAGGUUUGUACUUGUUACAAUCUUAUUAGAAUUAUUGAAGAGUUUUAUAAGAGUGAUCAAUUAUCUAAUGAAAAAUCUUAGAAAACCAAAUUUUAUCCUAACUUACAAAUGAAGCACAUUCCAAAUGAAAUGUUCGUCCAUGAAUUAGUAUACACAAAAAGUCCUAAACUACUUUCAUAUUGAUAAAUCACAUUCAUUAAGUUCUUCAAUGCAAUUUGUUCACUUGAAGUGAAAAAAAUUCCUUGUCUUAAAGAAGAUAAUAAAAAAUUCCUUUGGUCCAAAAAUACUUUUAUCUUGAUAUUAGUGGUGCACUAUGUGUUUUGUAAAUUAUACACGAUCAAAUAUAACAUUCUUUCUUAACUUGUUUGUAAUAUAAUUUUAUACCUACUCAAAAACAUUGGAAUAAAGUCAAACACGUUUUACAAUAUCUUUGUGAAGCUACUAACAAGAGUUUGUUUUAUUCAAAAUGAAAAUAAUCUCAACCGAUUGGAUAUGUUGAUGUUGGUUAUCUUUCAACACCCUCACAAAACUUGAUCUCAAAUGGGGUAUAUAUUUACUUAUAGUAGUGUAAUAGUAUCAUAGAGAUCAAUUAAAUAAAUAGUGGUAGUCAUUUCUUUAAAUUAUUUAAAAAUACUCUCUAUCAAAUAUAAUUUUACCAAAUUACAUGAAAAUAAUGAGACUUGUACUAUACAAAUUAAAGGGGUAUUUAUAAAGGAUGAUCGAACUAAAUAAAUCUUCAACAAAUUCUUCUAUACUCAUAAGCUUCAAGAAAAAGGUGAAAUUAAUAUUCAACAAAUUCGAUUAUAUGAUAAUCUAAUAAAUUUUUUCAUAAAUGUGCUACUAUCAAUUACAUUGAAAAAAUUAAGAUAUAAUAUAGAAAUACAUAGAUUGAGAUAUCUACAAAUUAAAGUGUUGAAGAAACCAUAAUUAUGUUUACAUUAAGGGGAAAAUAUUAAUAUAAAUAUAUUAUGCCUUUUUUUUUCUUUAUCCAAAUUUGUUUUAUUAGGUUUUAUUAUGAAUGUUUUUAAAGAGGUAGUCAUAAUGGUCAAAUUAUUUAAAGAAUGUUAUACUUUUUUUUUUCUUUAUUAAGGUUUUUCUAUUGGAUUUUUUCUGAUAAUGUUUUAAAAAGGCAUAUUUUUAUGAUUAUGUAAGAAGAAGUGUUAUAAAAAUAUGUGAAUGAUCAAUAUCGAUGUAAAUUUAUUCCUAUCUCUCUAUCAAUAAAUAAAUAAAUAAAGACUUGUUUAUGAAAUUCUAUUUUAUUUUUCUCUCAACAUUCUCAUUUAUUUUAUUUUUCUAAUUCUUUAUUUUACAACAUUUUUAUUAUGAAAAUGCAAAAACAAAUCAAAUAUAACUAAAAUUAAAUAAAAAUUUAUAAAACUUUCAAUUAUUUAAAAUAAUUAAAAUACCAUAUAUUUUAAAUUAUUUUUUCUUUUUUCACCCAUUUUUUUCCAACAUUUUCCCUCCCCACCGAAUAGUCAAACCGCAUCAAUCAUGGGCAUACUACUUACAUAGGCCAAGUUUUAAAAAAAUUAAAAAGCUGAAGCGAUAAUGUGGGACCUACGGGUCGGUGUCUCUAUUUUGGCUUGACCAUUUCUCCUUUUGCAGCCGAGAGGAAAAAAAAAAAAAAAACAAACAAACAAACAAACUAGAAGUAGCUUUCUUAUCAAGAGGCCUAUGCUCUUGAAAAAUCCAAUUAGGAGACAUCGUUGCCAAUAUUUUGGUCUAUUGAAUCAAAUAAAAAAAAAAAAGAAGAAAAAAAGCAUGGAAAUAUUGGCGUAUUAGUAGAAGGUGGGGUGGUUAGAAUCAAUGAAUCCGCCUACCGAGGCUCAGGAAAUCUCAGAUGUGGACCUCACACAAGAUUUGACACGUUUUUUUUUUCCUGUGAGCAUGGGCGGAUUCGACACGUCAGAGAAGAAAAGGAAAAGAAAAUAGGAAUUAUGCUAACGUGUCCUAAGGUUCCUGACAGCCCAUGGAUCCAAAACCCUCAUUGGACAGUGGGGGGAAGUUCAACGUGAACAUCAAAUUUUAGGGUUGCCAAGUCAUCAAGAUGAAAAUAUUGGUUUUUAUGAUCGCCACAUGGCGCAUUAGGUCAGCUGUGCUGAAGGCUGAUUCAAUUAAAUCGAUCAUUCAACACUGAAAAAAAUCAGUACGUAUCAGGAAAAAUUGGAGAAAAUCAACAAAUGAUCGACUUUUCUAUCUAAAUAUCUUUUUGGUGGUUAGCGAGAUUUGAGGGAUAGCUUUGAAUAUAGCAUAUGGAGCAACUCAUGUUUGAUAUGAUACUAUUUAGGGAUAGCUUCCUUGGCUUUAGUUUAUUCAAACAACCAUAAUUCAACGCCCAAGACUCAUAGUUUAUGAUAGUAGAAUGUGCUCAAUGUUACAAAGACAAAUUCUGUCAGCAAAUCAGCAUAUGAUAUGGACAAUAUUGUAAGAAAAAGGCAGAUUUUAUAGAAUUCAGUGCUUUCAGUGCUUGUUUUUAGAAUGCAUUGCAGGAAGACAAAUACAGAGUGAGCUACUCUAGAGUACACAAAUCUAUAGAAAAAGCACAAGAAAGAGAGAGAUGAGGGUUUAGAUCACUUCACUUGUAAGUGUAUCAUCAUGAGGAAGGUGUAUGCUGAGAUCAUCCAAGUCGGCACAUCCGUUGAUGCUCAAGCCAUGCUCGUUGGCUAAAUGUAGUAGGCAUAUGAAACACAAAUGAGGCGAGAUAUCCUCCAUUGCAGCAGCUGCUCUGCUGUGAUCAGGAAAACUGGCCAGGAUGUGCCUAAAAGAGACUGCUUCUUCAUCCUUAGAGAGAUGAAAUAUCCAACAUUAGGAGUAGCUUUCCAUAGUAUGAAGGAUAAGAAUAAGAAGCAGAUAGUCAUGGAAGCACUUGAGAAGAUAAUGAAACAAAUAUCAUGGAAUCUUAGAAUUGUUUCAAUUGGUAUGUGUCAUGUAUUCAUACCAUGAAAAUGGUCAAAAACUUCAGACUGAAGCAAUCUUGCUUUGCAACAUCCAAACAACAGCAAACCUGAUGCUUCAUGAUUUGAUAAUUUGGUUUCUACAACAAUUUUCUUCUCAUGAAUCAUGGUUAGGGGAUAAUCCCUACCAUGUUAGUAAGAUUGCAGAUUGUUACGCUAUUUUUAAUAAUGCAAAAAACAAGGCCCCACCAGUUCAGCGGUCAAAAACUUGUCCCUGAUGAUGUUUAUUUUUUUGGUUCAAGUUAAACACACAAUGACGUGCCACUAUCUUUUGCUUUUCCAUUUUACUUUUCUUGACCAGCUAGGCAUCAUCAUUUCGCUUAUCCAAUUCCCUUCAAUAUUCUUUCUCUCUUGCUUUUCUUUUGUUCACCUAUCUUGCUAAUAACUUAGAUGGCGGACUAAGACUCCCACAGGGACAACUGCAUCUUACCGUUUUCUUCUCAAGCAGCAAAAAAAUUUCAAAUAUCAAGAUCACUAUGGAUCACGAGAAAGGGUUUUGACAAAAAGAAUCAGUUGCAUAAUAGAAUGACAUAUCAAUAGUCCAUACUUGAUAACCUUGUGUCCGUUUAUCCACUAUAUCCUAAAUCAACAUUUACUGAUUGAAGAGUAAUCACCAGGAAACCAGAACAAAGAAUGCCAAGAAAUUGGCAUUAUAAGGAUCAGGAAUAUAAACUGUGGUAAAAUGACAUGACAAAAAAUUGUUCUAUGGUAAUUCCAAGAAAGGAAAAUCAAGUGCAUUCAGAUUCCUCUGAUAAGUCAGCAAGAUUUUUAUAGAUACUUCUACCCUAAUGCUUUACUCAUGUGGUGUGCACGUGGCGGGUGUUUGUUUUGCAUAAAAAAUUUGAAGGAAAAAAAAGGAUGAAAGAAAAAGGAUAGCAAGAACUCUUCUAUAUUUGGUUCGGUUACAAUAAUACAAGGAACAUCCAAUAUCAUAAAAAGAUGUUAUGAAAAAAAUAACAAGAUAUUCACUUACCUUGACUGAUGAUUGAGUAGACUUUUGCAUAUGGCCCCAAAGAGUUUCUUUUAGUGCCUGGACAUCAACUUGUUUAGAUGUUUUAUCAUACUGGACUUCAAUCUUGUUUACCUGAAUUGUUUGAAUAACAAAGCAAAGCAUUAACACAAAACGUAAAAAUAUUUUCAAUGCAAACUAAUUCUGUUUGACCAAUAAUGCAAAGCAUAUGUUGGAAAUAUCAGUUAAAUUACAAAAUAUUGCCUCCUGAUGAAAUAUAAUAUGCUGGACAUGCUUCAUGAUCUUAAUAUAUGAAGCCAUAUAUUCAGGUUAUAAAACUAACAGACUCCCAUUUAAUGAGCCUUCCUGAUUCCUAGAUUCAGGCUCAAGUGCAUGGGUAAACAUAUACACAAGGAUUAUCAAAACCAACCUGACGAGGUUGAGAGACAAGAGUGCUGGAGUCCUCCAAAUCACUGUGAAAAUUUCCAUUGUCAAAUGCGUCAUCAAACCCAUUUUCAUCAUCCCAUGAUGGAGAUACACCAAAAUCGUCAACUUGUUGCCUUGAUUCAUCUGAAAAUCGGGUAAGGAUUAGCAGUGGCAAUUCGUGUUGGUGGGUCAAGUUCGUAUUGUGUCAAAGCCUAGGAAUUCUACUACAUAGCUCAACCCAAACCUGACACAAAUAAUAAUUGUGUCAAAAACAUAAACUCAAAUACUACCUAAUUAUUAAAUAGGUAACAUGUCGUGUAGUCCAUUUAACCCAUUUGAUAAUUAGGUUCUCUUAUUUAAUAAAACAGGUUGAGUAAGGUCUUAUGUAUGUCUAUAUGAUUAAUGUUUCAGCUAAACAUAUUUAUGACUCAAUUGACCUAUUUAUUUAAAAACAAAUUUCAAAUGAAUCAAAUAUGGGUUAAAUAGUUUAAAGAUAUAAUUCAGUUAAUAACGAGAUUAUUAGAUGGGUCAAUUUGGGUCAAAUUCAAUUCGUGUUAUGCAGGUUGACCAAAAAAUUACCUAUUUAUUAAACAGGUUAUGCAACUCAGCACGAAUUUGACUCAAACCCAUUUAUGCUCAACCAAAACUCAUGAAAAGCGUGUUGGUGAAUUACAUCAAACUUUGUCACCCUUAGUAAGGAUUGAUAACCAACAAGAACAAUAUGUGCAUAUUCUAUCAGUUGGAGUACAGUAGUUGAUGCAUCAUGAAUGAAUAAGAAUAACAAAAGGAGGGGGACAUGAUGAUGGAAAUUCUCAUGUAAAAUGUAGUAAGCAGCUUUCAUAAAAGAUAAAAUGUGUAUCAUUGCAAUGAAGCAACAAAUAAAAGCCUAAAGAGGCAGUACAAGAGAAAAAAUCCCAGAAAAUUGAGUAAUUUUGAAUCAUCACAAUCCCCUUCUCUGGUGUUUACAUCCAGUAUCUGAUAUGUGAAAUGACUAACAUAUUAGAGUUCUGCACUACUAAGUAGACGAGGUUAUUAAUACUUCCUAGAUCUCCUAGAGAUUUUAAAUCAUAUGUGAGUAAAACAAUCUUACCUGAGAACCUUCUUCGCCUCCUCCCAAGACACUACAGGCAGACCAGAUGUUUCAUCAAGAAAAUUAAAAGCAAAAAUUAGCAUGAAAAAUCUACAGCAAAGCAACCAUUUUAAAAUACCAUUUUCACAAACCAAACGGUAAUCUACAAUCGGUACACCUAGAAUUACCAUUAUAUUAGGUAGAAGAAAUAACUUGACAAGAUUCUCCGGCUGAUAGUGGCAAUCUUCUGGAAGUUUUGUAUUGCAAGGAGCUCUAUUAGCAGGCAGAAACAAUGACUUGGGAUUUUUGGGAGGAGCGAAGACAUCUGAGAUCUCUUUGUCCAAGGCUUUUGUAAAAUCAAUAUCAGGUUCUGCCUGUUUUUUACCCCUUGCUCUCUUAGUUGUUAAUGGUGAUCCCUUUUCUGUAGCAGGAUCAUCCUCUGGACCUAAUAAACAGAUAACAUGUUAUGUAACCACACUAAUGAAUUUCCACAAUAGAAAGGCCAAUUAAUAUAUCAACUACCUCCAGCCUCCUAAAGCUUACCUUUCACCUUCCGAUACUUCCAAUGAUCAGGACCUGCCCAGGCAUUUUGUUUCGAAGCAAAACCCAAACUUAAAAACAAAUAAUCAUCAACUCUCUCAAAUCUGUCAUCCAUAUCAGGUUCAACAACAGUAAAUGGUCCACUUUCCUGCAGAGUAAGUACCAACUUGUGAAAAAACUUAAUUUUACUCUUUGGUUUAUCAAGAUAAAUGUAUUAAAGUUACAAAAUAAAUAACAGACAAAACUCCUUUUUUGAGCGGUAGGAAACAGACCUCAUGAUGAACUGGAAAAACUGGAUCUGCACCAUAGGAAUCUUCAUCAACCACACUUGUUCUGUCAUCAUGAUCAAAGGUCCAGGUAUUGCAGUUCUCAAAUGCAUCAACAUCCGACUCAGCCUCGUUAUAAACUGAAUUAACUUGCUCUUCUGAUUUAUGGGCAGAAGAAAAUGUAUCUAAUGGCCUUUGAUUGUUUUCAUCAAAUCGAUCAACUAUAUUCCUUAAAGUUGGCGAAAUUUCAUCUUUUGUACGCAUGUUCAAUACCAUCUGUUCGAUGCUUUCUACAAAGAAAAGAGGAAUAAUUAUUCUGUGAAAGAAAACUGCAAUUUCCUAUUUAUGUGCAUGAUAACACCAAAGAGAUUAGAAUAUUAACAAAUGCAACACACCUUUUGCAAAAGAAAGAUCUAUUGUAUCUGAUUUGUCAAGUUCAGUUGCACAUGACAUACAGUUCCCUGGUAUUUCAAAGGAAUCAAAAAGCACCCGACAGCCACCAUACACUCCAAGAUUGUUCAACAAGAGGCCUUUGGCUCCACCUUCAUCAAACUGUGCAGAUGUUUGAUGAUAGAGAGGGUCGACGGCAAAUGCAACUAAGAAACCAAAGAAAUUUCUUUAAAACCUCAUCUAAAUCACAAACUGGUACCAUAUAUAAUACAGGAUUGGACUCACCAUCGAACUUCUUUAGAUUAAGAACCUCAAAAGACGAUUCCAAUGUUGACAAAGGUGAUAUCUGCAUAUAUUUACUUCAGUCAGUUUGUAGUCUCGUCAAUUAACCUAUUCUACAAGUCAGAACUAUUAACCUUCCUAUCUAGCUCUUUCUUAGAAUGCCCUUCCUCUUGCUCACUGUUGACAUUAGCAUCCUCCACCACAUUAUCUGGCAUCAUAAGUCAAUAUAUUUAAAACAGAAAAACAUAGAAGGAACACAAGGUGCAACAAAAUGUUACAAGUCAGCAACUCAAAUAGAUAGGCCUCCAACCUCUUAACAGUUAGCCUCACAAGCAAAAGCUAAAAAAGAAAGUGAAACCAAACUGCAGCAAUAAAGAGAAUAUAAAAGAAAGGAACAAUAGAACAAGCAAAAAACUUCUAAAUUCAAACUUCAAUAGUUACCUACUAAUAGAACUGUAACAUAAAUAUCCACUUAGAGGAUGAUAAGUCAAUUUAAGUAUUGCAAAGGCAACUAUAUAGCAAGCUUUCCAAAGGAUGAAAUUUGUAGUGUUAAAAGUGAAAGUGGAAUACAUAUGUGAUAUGAGGCUUGAAGAAUAAAACCAUUUCCAUACCAAACAAGCAUACAUUAAAGAGUAAAAAGGAAAAUUAACCUUGUUCAUUUUCCUGACCCACUCUAUUAAUCCCACCAAGGACCUUAUAUGCCUCUGAGUGCACUGAAUCCACCCUCAAUGAGUAAAUUUUAACCCCGGCUUCAAGAGUGCAACUUGCCUGUAUAGAGGAAAAUGUUAAAAUAAAAAAAUAGAAAAAAAAUAAAUAAGAAGAAUGCAGAAAUUACAAAAGAAAAAUAAAACAUAAAAAAAAAAAUUUAGGGCCUGUUUGGCAACAUUUUCAAAAACCAUUCUCAAAAAUUAAUUUUUGAAAACAAUUCUUAGAAACAAUUUUCAAUUGUUUUCAAGAACAAAAUUUUAUUUGAGAACUUAUAUAUGGAAAUUAGUUUUCUUAGCCUAUUCUCUAUGAAGGUAUUGGAAGCCUUUGUAUAAUGUAAAAGUUCUUGACCUCUUCUCCAUGUUUCAAAUUGUUCCUUAACAAACUCUAUUAAAAACAAAAAAACAGAAAAAAAACACCUGCAAACAUUUCAAAUUUGUCAAACCUGUUUUUAAAGUUGAAAAACUGUUCUAGAACAAAAAACUAUUUCCAAACAAGGCCUAAAUUUCGGACAUAAGCUCUCACUUAUUUUUUUCAUCUAUCAUUUUAAAAAGCUAAAGUCGGUCUUGAGGCAUUUUGCCUAAAUGAAGGGAUGCGUAAGCCUUGAGGUGGAACAAGGAGUAAACCUCAACUUAAACAAAAAUAAAUAAAUAAAUAAAUAAUACGAAAAAGAAAAGAAAAAAUCUCAAAAAAAAAAAAAAAAACUGGAAAAAUACUAAGACAAUCACAUGAAAAUUGAAUAAUAAGCAAAUCAUAUAAUCAUAAUAAUCAAAUAAAUCGUUUUUUAGGGCCUAUGGUUUUCAAUUUAGUUCUUCUCUCUCUCUUCUAAAAUUCAGCUCUUCUCAUGGCUUCAUUAAAUAAUCUUCAACAUUAUCAUCAAUAUCACCAGUAGGAUCUUCCUUGGAAACAUAGUCAUAUUAAUUGCUCUAUUGUCCUCCCCUUUAGUGUUAACGUCCACUCAUUCUUCUUCUUCAUCUAGUAAUUGCAAUUAUCUAUCAAUAAACAGAUAAUGAUUAUAUAUGAGCUCAACCACCACAAUGGCCAACUAAAUCCUUUGUUAAUUAUUUAACCCUAGUCUUGGACCCCAAAUAAAACCUGUAAAUCUAAACCAGAACCCCACAAAAGCAAAAUUCAUUAAAACCAUUGAAUAUUGAGGUUUAAACCUCUUACAAAAUAUAUACAAAAAGCCCAUAAAGGUCUUAAACCUAUUAUAAGCCUUAGACUAUUUGAGGCUUAAGCCUCGAGGCUAUAGCCUAAAGGUUGUAAGCCUUGAUUACCCAAUACUGAGGCUAUUGCCUCAAGGCUAAUUUGCACAGCCUCACCUUUAGGUGAGUCUCAAGGUAUAAGCCUCAAUUGCCUUUUAAAACACUAUUUGCAUCAAUAAAGAAAUAAAAAAUUUCAGGGGUGUCCAAUUCCUUGUGAAGUAGACUGGUUUACUCAUGAACCAAAACCAGAGCAUAAAGUUUAACAGUUAUAAGAGCAAACAGCAAAGACUGAUGAGUAGUUUACUGUCUUAAGGAUUAUAUGUCCAAUAUACUGUUGAACUGACGGUUAUCCGAUCAUGGAAGAAUGUACAAUAUGUUCAUGUGUCUAAAAAGUUAUGUAAAGAAGAAGGACAUUAUGGAGUAGUCCAAAAUAACACAUGCUGAUAAUCAUAAACAGUGUGCUUAUAGCCUUAUCAUAUAUUUACUCCAUGAAUUAUCAAUAUCAUGUGGCAUACCUUUUGAAAAUUUGUCUCCGCGUCAUCUUCUUCUUCAACUUUAAUUAUCUCGCAAAGAUGAUCUAUUAGAUUCAGCUCCCAAGUGUUCUUUUGAUUGAUUUUCUGAACCAACACAACCCAAAAGACAAACUAAACCCUGAGUUGCAAGAUACAAUAGCGUACUGUUUGGUGACUGAGAAAAUUGAGGAAAAUGAAAGAAAACAUAACUUUAAGUCCUACAUCUUCACUUGUUCCUUUUUCUAAAAAUAAAAUAUAAAAAAUAAUAACAACAUUACCAACUAGCCCAAGUACUUGUCUUCGGUUAAAUUCAAUCUAUUUUUCCCGGUUCUUUUUAAUAAUCAAAAUUUAAAUUUCUUUUUUUUUUUCCCUUAGAAAUCAAACUGAUCUGUCAAAUGGGGACCCGGAGAAUUCGGUUGGCGUUGAAAAGGUUGUCCAUUAUACAAAGGUAGAGUGAGAGAAAUUACAGACAUUUUCGCUAGCGAGUUUGAUGCAAUUCUGAAACAAUUCAAGAAUCUGCUCUUUGCCGAGGCACGGAUCGGGAUCGGGAGGAGGAGGGGCAUGAGCAGCCACGGACUUUCGGCGAAUAGAAGCUGCGCGUGCUGCUCGUGCCUGAGCCCGCUCGAGUUGGUCGUCAUUGGAGCCCAAGAAGAAGGGACUUGUGGGAGAUUGGAUCCGCGCAGACAUUAGGGCUCUCUGCUUCUGCACCGUCGCUGGAUUGGGGCUUAGGGUUUCAGCCAUUAGUAAAGAUAAUCACUGUAUUUUUUCUGAUCUGAAAAAAAAAUUAUGUUUCCGAAGCUUCACUGUUGAGAAAAUGCAGCGAAGAAGAAGCGGAGUUGCGAUUUUCCCUCCCUUUUCUUUGUUUGAAUUUUGGGGAGAAAGAGGCUCUGCUCUGCAUAAUGGACAGAAGAAAAAUUAUGCCUUAAGUAAAACGACGUCGUUUGGGUUCCACCGUUAAAUGAAACGAGCCCCGUUAAGCUCUUUUGCAAGAUUUAGGAAUUAAGAACAUUCAAGAAAUUCCAUGUUAAUAAAAAAAUGAGGUGAUUUAAUAUCAUACAUGAUGAAUACUCGAUAGUGGAAAUAAAAAUAAUUUUUUAAAGAUAAAAAAUAUGUUCAUUUUAAAUUAUUUUCGCCUUGUAUAUUUUAAAUAAACAUUUUUUGUAAAUCUUGUUUGUUUUUUUACGUGAAUUUUACCUUUUUCUGUUAAACUAAAAGUAACUUGUUAAUAUCAAUUAACAUAAUUAAAGUAAACCUAUUAUCAACAGGUUCAAUUUAAUCAUGUGAGUUAAUAUCAAUCGAGUUAUUUUUAAAUAAACAAAAAAUAAAGAUAAAAUAAAAUAUUUUGACUUUUUCUAUUGGGUCAAAAAAAAAUACCACUACUUAUUUUUUAUAUAAUUUUUACUUUUCUAAUUUUAAAACAAAUACCAAAGAGACCGAGUUGUUCAAAUUUCCCCCAACAAUACCAUACCAUGUGAAGGAGAAAAAUCAAAAUUCAAAGAAUAGGAAUGAAUUUUCAUUUAUGUUCCCAUUUCUAAUAAAUAAUCCAAACCAGUAAUUAAUGGGAAAUAGUAUGAAUUUCUCCUUCCUAUUACAAUGUGGGAGUUCAAAUGCCAGGAGUAAGAUUCCCAUAUUCAAUGUAAAUCAGCAACAGAGGAAACAUCAGAAUAAUUGUGCUAAGAGAGACAGAAAAAAGGAGAAACAAUUUAUAGAGAAGCCCAUCCAUUCCAUGUAUACAGGGGACUAAGCGAAAGUUAACAGCAAAUAUUAACUCUCCCUGAAUCCAAAUGAAGCACCCCCAAACCACUUUAUAGGCUUUCAGUAACUGGGAAAUCUUCUUGCACAGCAGCUCUUCUGCUAGUCCUUGCCAAAGCUGCUGCAUAUGAUAAUCAAUGGUCAAUUUGGUGACGAGGUGAAAAAAUUUGUCAGUGAUCCCAUGUCUUAAUUGGAACCCCUCAACAGAUACGCUACGAUGCAUCCCAACAAGCCACCUGCCACAACCUGUAUAAAUUCAAACCAAGUGAGCGUUGUGUCAUCUCAUGUUUAUGCAUAAAUAAAAUCAAGUCCAUCAGUUGUGGUUGGGUUAGAAGAAGAGAAAAAAAAAAAAAAAAAACCAGCUUGGUAGUUGGUAGAAAUGAAAAGGCUUGAAGCAGGAACAAGUUAGUAAUUUGAAAUAGAAGUCAGCAUGGAGGGCAACAUACCUGAAUAGGAGUGUGCCCAAGUGAAUCACGCAGAGGUCUGCUACUGGAUAGUGGGUGUUCAGGAGGAAACUCACAUACUAUUUGAUUCAGUAACUGCAAUGAGGGUAAAAUGAAAUCAUUUUUAAUAGAAAUAUAUGAAACAAGUGAGUAUGGUCUUAGGUACAUAGUCAGAAACAUGUAUAUCUACACUACACAAAUACAGUGAUGACAUGAAUUUAUCCAUCUUGUUCAAAUCCCUCUUCCCUUUCUUUUUUGAUUUACUUCUUGGGAACCCACAGUACAUUAUAUCAGCUGCCUAACAUUAUUUUUUUCCAUCUUUUGUAAUCACAUGGUGGACUCCAUAACAUCUUAAAUGUUAAUGUAACUUUCAACUGAAGGCUCACGUUACAGUAAGCUCUAGCCUCAAGCAGGGUUUGCACUUUCCCAACUUUGAGGCUCUAGAAGACAUCUCAAGGUUCAAUUUUGGUAUAUCGUAGAACAAGGACACUGAGAACAGCCUCAGUGUUCUACAUCAAUACAAGACUUGUGAAACACCAACCUCAAAAGCCAAACACAAACAAAUAGAACACUAAAAAGAAAGCAAAAAUGGAAGUGUCCAUGCAACAUAUAACAAUGGAAAGUCAACAACAGGAAACCAAACUUUAUCUGAUGUGACAGAGAUCUUACUUCAGCCUGUCGACCGGCAUGCUGUCUGACUCCAGAGGCGUCAUACAUCACCUGCAAGUAUUUGAAUAGUAGUCAUGCUCGCAUUCCUCAAACAAAUACAGGGAAAUUUGUCCAGAGAAAUAAUUUCUGAACCAACUAGAAAAAAGACCACUGGUAACUAAUGAUUUUAGAAUUGGGAACGUAUUCUUUUAGACCAAAUUAAAAGGUUGGACUGGCUGUAUGCAACCUCAAAAUGUCAUUUAUUGACAGCUACACCCUGAUCCUUUCUAUCUCUGUUCUUGAACCCCUCCAUGUCAAGAUCCUACUAAAAUAUUCAAUCACAUAACUCUUAGUCAAUGGGGUCACUUUGAUUGUUGGUUCAAGUUUCAUUUUUAUUUCUCAUGUAGUGGGAAAAAAUUGAUAUGAAGGGUUUAGAGUCUUCAACCCUCAUGAACAAGUAACUAAUUCUAUGAACGUAGCUUAAGGUAUGGUUAAAGGGGAUUUACUUUUCUUUGCUUGCAAAUCUGUAUUUCAGACUCCAAAAAGUUAUUUCAUAAAACAUAAUACUUUAAUAAUCUAAGUCCCAUUUUAAUGGUUCUAUACAGAUUACAGACUAUUCAUUCAAACUCUAACUACAUAAAAGAAACACCAUAAAGAUAAAAGAUCUAGGCAACAUGAUUCAGCAUUUGAAAUUAUGGCAAUCAACAAGCAUAAGCUAUGAAAAAAAGGAACCUGGUUGCAGAGUACAUACAACACAUGCAAAGACUAUUGCUAUGGCAAAAGCAGGUCCUCCUGUUCCAUCUUGUAGGCCUAUAGUCAACGCCAAAGCUGUUACUGUUGCAGAAUGCGAGGAUGGCAUUCCACCAGAAUCAAUCAUUUUUUUAGAAUCCCAUCUCCUCUCCUUAUACCUGAACACCUAGGAGAAACAUAUCAAGAACUUGAACCAGCAUUUCAGAUUAUACGUAUAAUUUAGAAACUUUCAAUUUAUCAAAUCCAGAUUUGAAGCAAUUGAAGUUCAACCGAAAUUAAAGCCCCUAACAGUAUAACAGUAGAAAAAUUAUAUGAAUUGAUUGAAGUCCGAAUAGAUUUAUUAUUCAUUUGUAUCUUCAUCCCUCUCCCAUAAACAUCAAUUUCCACCACAUUCAACAUUCUCAAAACCACAAAAACAUCAACAAAAACUGUGGGCAAAGUAUCGACUCAAAGCUUCAAUCCUUCUUCAACAGAAUCCUUAUUUUUAAUUGUGAUUUGUUCUGACUUCUAACUUAUGACACAAUAGAGAUAAAGGGAGCUAAGCAGUUUUUUUUCAAAUAAUAAAAAAAUAUUGUCAAAUGAAAUCUUGUCAAAGCUUCCCCUUUGUGUUUUCAUGUCACCAGUUUCUUCAUUGUUUGCAUCCAAACCAACAAAAGGCAAAUUCGGACACAUAUUCCAAAAGUCAUGAACCCUAAAUUUGUGUAUGGUUGCAUAGGGUUCUGGCACCCAGAACUGAGACUGAAGACCCUCAUUCGAAUCCCACAGCUAAAGAAAACAUAGUUGGAAUAUUCCAAAUUCCAGAACCCGAAAUCCAAGCAUAAAAACAAACAAACAAACGAGUUUUGAAAUUCUCAGAAGAAAUCUGUAUCAAGGAAAUCAAACGACAUCGUUAGGAAUGAAUUGAAACGAGGGAGGAAUGUACGGACCAGGUGGUGAAGAGCUUGAGGAAUUGGGCGAUGGCGAAGGAGAGGAAAGCAGAGAUGAGAGGGAGGUUGAACGGAGGAGACCAGUAAGACGUCGUUUGAGAAUCCCCCGCUGAAUCUGCUGCCCCGAUCGCAUCCUCCAUUUUCUUACGACCAACAAAAAUCAAUCACAAAACAAAGAAAAACACCUGAUCGAUUGCCUUGAUUUGAUUCAAAACACAUUCAAAUCUUCAUAUACUCUCUCUCUAGAAAAAUGGUGGGAGAUGAGAAAGAAAGGAAGCCAUAUUGGACCAAUGAGAUUCUGAAUAGUGGCGCCCAUUUGGGGUCUUGGUCUGACUCUGACUAAUGUGAAAGUGGCUUAUUCGGUUGGGAAGAAACUAAGUCAAGGAAUUAUUUUUUAUGCCUUGUGAUGGAAAAAGUGUUGAGUUAUUCCAAUGUCCAAAUCCAUGUAAGAGUCGCACAGACGACAAGUUUGACGCAUUAUCACCCAACAAUGUAAAUACAAAAAAAUAAUAAUAAUAUUAAAAAAAAAAAAUUAAAGGCUUGAUUUAUUUAUUGUCUAAGAUAUUGAUUCCACACAUGUGGAAGUAUUAAUUUCUAUUGAGAAAAUAUAUAAUAAAAUCUAAGCAAUUGGAUAAAGGUAUAAAUAUAUAAAAUUACGAUGCGAAUAAGAUCGUGUAUAAUACUUUCUCGAAGAGUAAGUUGAGAAAACCAUUUUUUGUAUUUGAAUUAUUCGGUAUAAUUUUGCUUAUGAAGAAAAUUAAAAUUUGUUUUAAAAAGGAAAAAAUGGUAUGUUUGAUUGAUGUUUUUGAAAACCGUUCUAAAAAAUAGUUUUUAAAAACAGUUAUUUGUGUUUUCAGAAAGAAAAAAAAAUUGUGUUUGGGAACAAUUUUUAUUCUCAAAAACAAAAAAAUAUAUGUUUGGUUGAAUUAAUAAAAAAGUUUUUUACAAUGAGCAAAACAAAAAAACAUAUUUAAUUUUUUAAUUAAUAAAGUGUUUUCUUUCAUUAAUUUGAUAUUAUAAAUAUAUAAAUAAUUUUCAUAUUUAUAAUUCAUUUAAAUUAAAAAAAAUUAUUCUAUUUUGAAAAUUUUAUACCAUUUAUAAUUUUUUUAAACUAAUGAUGAUUUUAUAACCAUAUGUAAGUAUAUUAAUUUCAAUGAUUUAAGGAAGAAGAAAGGGAUUGUGGAUGGGGGUGUGGUAGUUGGGUGGAGUUUACCUUUGUAGAAACAUAAAAAGCAAAUAGGAAAAUACACAAAGAAGGAAGAGAAAACAUGAAAAACAAUCCAUGCAUUGAACAUUAAAAAAACAAUGAAAACAUCUUUUUAUUGUUCUCAAAAAAGUGGUUUUUGAGAACACGAAAAACACAAAAAACACAAAAAACAAAACACACGCCCUUCCCCAAACAAGUUUUUUGUUUUCAAGAACAUAAAACAAUUCUUGAGAACAGGAACCAAACAUAACCAAAAGCUUUGCUUCAUUUCAUCAAAAGACAAAAAGGGCUUGUCUGAACAAAAAUAUUACAUUCAUUGUCCCCUUCUUUGGGGGAUUGGUUGGUUGGUUGGUUGGUUGGUUGGUUUCUGUACAUAACAAACUUGAGUCUGCCAAUUGUCUCAUUUUUUUUCAGUUCUAUUUCCACAACUUAUGCCAUCAGAACCUCCUGAGAGGCCAUGUACAUAAUAACACACACACGCUCACUCUAGGAAUGGUCAAGAAGAAGCCUUUCUUUACAAGUUUGGGGCAGGUUGGUUCAGCAGGGGCGCAUCACUGCCUAUGCUAGACAUUGGUGUAUGCCUUCGGGAAUGGCGUUUUGUUGGGACUAGCUCAGGCUUCUGCACCAUCUCCACUUCAUUUGCUUCAUCCAUCUCACUGUCAUCAUCCCCAGCUUUGAAGAUUGGGUGGAAGUAGGCUUCCCUAAGGUAGCCUUUCAGGUUCAGGUUUGGCUCUCUUACUCGUUCCAGCGUAUCUUUCAUCAUCGCUUCCUGAAAAGCAAAAACCCACCAAGAGAUCAAUUCAAGUUACCAGACAACAGCUGAGGAUGCAUGUGAAACAAUGCCUGCUGAUGGGACUUUACAUUUUAUAUAGCAAGGAAUAUGCUCUAUUGGUGGGACUAAGGGCAUGUAAUGUUGUAGAGGACACAGAUGAUAAGCACAUAUAAAUCUAAUGAAGCAUCCUCUACCUGCUGCCCCUGUAUACUAGCGUGUCUCAGUUCAUUUCCCAUAGUUUUUGGUUUGUUUGCUAAGUUUUCUAGACUUGUCUAGUUUGGUUCCUCGGUAUGUAUAUAAGAACUUCAGAAGAUUACAACUAUUAAGUAACCACCCUGAUCAAUUCUCAUACCAACAUCUCUCAUGUCAAGUAGUAGAAAAGGACUAAAACCAAUUCCCUCAUCCUACAUAACAAGGUGACUCACUAUUUGGCCCUUUUCCACACUCAAGCAGGUACCUGUGCCCCUAGAAGGUUCCCAUGUCAAACAACUGGUAUCCAUGCUGAUUAUGACAAUUUUUUUUUCUUACAUGAUUUUCGAUUUAAAUAAGCCAGUCAAUCAAGAAUAUGGUGUCAUGCAAAAACAUGGAUAAGCUACACACAAGUCCAAGAAGAUAGAAAUUAAACAACUUUACCAUAUCAGAUUAUGAUUAAAGAAACAAGGAAAAAAAGGGGUACUACACAAUAACAAAUGAUGAAAUAUGACAUCCUCUAAAUACUGUUCAUGCAAUCAUUUCAACAGAAAAGAAGCAUCAGUGAUGCCAAUGGAAUAUCCAACAAACCUGUAAUGGGUAUCUAACAAAAGCAGGUUCAUAACGCCCUUUGCAGAAAAAAUGGAACCAUAUGGUCAGGACUGGAAGUGCUAUGAGCAGUGGAGUUGAUUGAGCUGCUUGUUUUGUACUUAACAAUCCCAUUAGUAGCAGCUGUGAGACAACUAAUGCAACUAUGAUGCGCAUGUGAACAUCAGGCCAGAAUGCAGCAGCACUCUCAUACUCCUGAUUGUAUACAUUUAUGAUCUACAUAUCCACCAGAAAUUUUAUUAGAGAAAGAAUUUGGGCAGAGAGGACAGAGAUAAUAUAUUACAUCAGAGAUUCCUUUCCAACCACCAACUGAAAAACACUAUACUGUAAAACAACUGGGCAGGGAAAAUAUGAUUAGGGUAGGAGGAGAUUCCUCCACACAAAUGUGAAGGAAUACCAACUUUUACCUGAUGACGAAAUACAACAUAUGCCAAGCCGAAGAAUACUAUUAUGAAAGGAAGUAAAAUGGGGGUGACCACGGCAUAAACGAGGCCAAGUAAGAAAUAGAGUUGUAUUUGGGGUUCGCCUGUGUUGAAACUAAGGCUCCCUGGAUCCAUUGCUUCUUCCCUAUCUUUUUCAGUUUUCACAGUGAAGAAAUUCUUUAAGUGGUAGAUUAUCAUUGGCUUCAAUCUUAGAAUCUCCCCAGAAACUCCAGCCCAUCCAUCAACCAUUAUGUAAGUUAUGAAGAAAGUUGCCUUCAUUGGAAUUGAGGUUCCGAUGAUCUUUGGGAUACUGCAAAAUCAACCACUUGACUUUAUAUUAAACAUAUCAGAUCAAAGUAGCACUUGAUGUCACAUCCAGAUCUAAUUAAUCCAGUAACAAAAAUGGUAUUAGAAUAUUCUAUCUAUAGCAGUAUCUAAAGACUGUUUCAAAGGAAAGAAACAUCUGAUGAAUUAUGUUUGUGGAAGAAUAAGUUAUGGGAGCCAAUAUGCUCAAUCCAUACAUAGAAUAAGUCAUGGAAUCAAGGUAAAAGUGUCUUUAGAGAUGAUAGUUCAUUGAGCAUUGUCAUAUAAAACAAAAAGAAACCUGAAACAAAAGGGACUAGAGAUGAUUUACUCUCACAAAACAUAAAAAUCAAGACCAUCAGAUGCUAUAUCUUGACAAAAUACAAUUGGAGGUGCCAUUGAUCCUGUUCUGCUAUCUAGGUUUAUAAAGGGUCAUAUAAUUGACAUAUGUGAGACAAAAGCUACAAUCAAUUUUGUAAUUGCAAAGAGAAAGAUACUGCAGAACUGUGUGCAUAGGAAAGAAAAUUUUUAGAGAAAUAUAAGAAUGCAAUGAUUUUUGGAUCAAUCUGUUUUGCCUCAUAAGAACUCACAUUGUCAUUUAUAAGCCUGUGGAUUUCAAGUUUACUUUGAAUAUGUCAUCCUCACAGUCUAGUUUGCAUCAGAAGUCAUUUUGUUACAUGAUUGGAUCAGAAGUCAGUUGGUGAACAUGGGUUUCUUCCCCUUUCUCUACUGGCCUUUUAUAAAGAAGCUUAAAAAGAAAAAAGAAACAGCCAUUAAUAAGAUAGCUAAGGCAAUUAAAGGAGCUGGGUUCUCAGGAUGUAAAGGUAUUUUUGUGGGUUAGGCUUUAGGGCGCCUCAGAUGGGAUUCUACAUAAGAGAGAAAAUCUAGCGUUCUUUGGAUCAAUGAAGAUGAUAAAGAUACAAAAUUCUUUCAUAAGUUACCAGUUUGUGAAGGAAGAAUAUCAUCUUUAGGUGGAUGGUGCAAUCCGAGAUGACCUAGUAUUUAUCCAAUAAAAGCUAGGGCGUUCUACUAUCCUUUAUUCAUUAUUUAUGUAUCUAGGUUCAAACAAUUUCAUUGUGCCUAUGUAUUAAGAUAAGAAGCCAAGCAUAAGAGAGUUUUCAAAAUUUAGGAGCUCAUACAGACACCUCUUUUUUAUCUGAUAUUAAUAGGAACCUGACCAAGGUCUGAGAGAUUUCACACCGAAAGUUUCCAUUGCUCCACUAUUACUAAGGAAUACAGGAUGAAGUUUUCUUUCUCUGUUUCUAUUAUUAUUAUUAUUAUUAUUAUUAUUAUUUGUCAUAAUUUGCUGCCAAUUGGAACAUGUUGGCUUCAUUUCCCCUGAGGAUAUCAGGCCUAAGAAUUUUGUACCUAUAAACUAGAGAAGCCUCAGUCCUCUCCAGAUGCCUGAAAUAUCUUUACUUUUGUUGCAGAGAAACAAAUAACUGAUAAACAUCAAUCGGAGCAAUGGUUAGAGAAAGCAACUUGAAUUGAUGAAAACAAUUAUCUUCAACUAAAGUGGAAGAUGAUAAUUCAGGGAAAAACUUUGUCACAACUCUAGAAGAUAAUAUAAUAAUACAUGCAUCGAUAAUGAUUAUUUGAAGAUUGCAUUUCCAAAAACCUAAGAGAUGUCUCAGAAAUAUAAUGCACAGUGCAUAUAUGAGAAGAACUUACUCAUUUGCAGACUGGUGGAUAAAACUAUUUAAUUGUUGAAAUGCAGUUCCAGUGAUUAUGCUCCCAAGAAAAACAUUAAUAAAUUGGAAUAUAUAAAAUCUAGCUGCAGAUCUCCUCUCUAGAGCUGACCGGCUGAUAAAUCCCUCAAAUUUAGACAUUAGCAUCAAUAUUGAUGGUAGAAAAAUGAGAAAGAUCUUUAGAGCAAUCCCAGGAAGAAAACCUUGGAUGAUUGACUUGAUGAAGUGGCUGCAUGACAAAGACAAUGCUGUUAAUAAAUAUAUAUAUAUAUAUAUAUAUAUAUAUAUAUAUAUAUAUAUAUAUAUAUAUAUUUAUAUAUAUUUAAAGUAAUCCAAUCUCAAACUAAAAGAUGGUGAACCUUGUGUAAACACACAAGCUUCAAAUCAUUCUCAAGUAUUAAGCAGAAACAGGAACUGUCAAUGCUGGGAUGUGAUUGAUGAACUAUGGCAAUGUAUUAUAGUAAGAAAGAACAUUCUCAAUUGAUUGGAGCAAAUGAAGCACAUGACCAUGAAAAAACCUCAUCUAACAACAUCAAACCCUUAAUGAACCAACAAAAACUUAUCAGAUAAGAUCAACCCAUUUCUGAUCUUGAAUCAAAGAUCUUAAAAAAUGAAAGUUGAUACUUGAUAGGUUCAGGAGAAACAGAACAGAAUGGAUAAAAGGGGAAGUAAAAGAAAACCAAGCUAGAGUCAGAUUAAUGCACAUAAGUAUCAUUUGGUAGGUUCACGGGAAGCUGGUCAAUGGACUCCCAACAGCAAACGGGACUGGAACCAGCAACCACCUGCACUACUUACAGCAGUUCAAUUUCUGGUAUGCCACCUAGGGCAGAAGGGCAGUGAUGACCAAGUCCUCAAUUAAAAUACCAAGUACAAGGUGGACUAAACUUAAUUGAUAAUUGUAGAUAAUAUAGUUUACUAGGGAUUAAUAAAAGCACCAGAGUAGUAUGGCAUGCAGAAUCAAUUUACUAAUAAACCAAAUCAUUCAAAUCAGUACAAAUGUGUGCAUAAGUCUAUUUGUGUGAAUGUGCAUAUGAAAUAUAUACACAAAGAAAAAGAUACUAUCAAAAAUUUGAGAACAGAUGACAAU